This 212-nucleotide long non-coding RNA is filed under the name Nicotiana benthamiana. Its description in RNAcentral is "long non-coding RNA (NBEN_LNC000381)". Lineage: Eukaryota; Viridiplantae; Streptophyta; Magnoliopsida; Solanales; Solanaceae. The record is from RNAcentral.
GCUAAUUUUUCGGUGAUUUGUUCAACUAGUUUACCCGAGACAGAUAUAUUGUCACUGAGUUUGGGGAACAAUUCCCGCCGAAAUUCAGGAGGUUUGAAUAUAGGACUAGGCUCUAUCCCAUUAUUUGUAUUAGGCCUAGGGAUACUUAAACUAGGGGUUAAUUUAGGAUUUGUUUCCUCAAUUUGCAGGGAAACAGUGUGCAGCAACUUAUU